AGUCCAAUAGUUUAACGGUUAUGACGUAUCCUUCACAUCCUGUGACUAUACGUCGCGAACGGAUAAGAUCCCGGUUCGAUUCCGGGUUGGACUA
Non-coding RNA from Malassezia sp. CBS 17886, 94 nucleotides. The record is from the annotation of a GenBank genome assembly. NCBI's taxonomy places the organism in Eukaryota, Fungi, Basidiomycota, Malasseziomycetes, Malasseziales, Malasseziaceae.